This 971-nucleotide ribosomal RNA is filed under the name Staphylococcus aureus DAR3624. Its description in RNAcentral is "bacterial LSU rRNA". It matches the Rfam family "Bacterial large subunit ribosomal RNA", at positions 1952 to 2925 of the family's 2925-position model. Lineage: Bacteria; Bacillati; Bacillota; Bacilli; Caryophanales; Staphylococcaceae. The record is from RNAcentral.
UAAGGUAGCGAAAUUCCUUGUCGGGUAAGUUCCGACCCGCACGAAAGGCGUAACGAUUUGGGCACUGUCUCAACGAGAGACUCGGUGAAAUCAUAGUACCUGUGAAGAUGCAGGUUACCCGCGACAGGACGGAAAGACCCCGUGGAGCUUUACUGUAGCCUGAUAUUGAAAUUCGGCACAGCUUGUACAGGAUAGGUAGGAGCCUUUGAAACGUGAGCGCUAGCUUACGUGGAGGCGCUGGUGGGAUACUACCCUAGCUGUGUUGGCUUUCUAACCCGCACCACUUAUCGUGGUGGGAGACAGUGUCAAGCGGGCAGUUUGACUGGGGCGGUCGCCUCCUAAAAGGUAACGGAGGCGCUCAAAGGUUCCCUCAGAAUGGUUGGAAAUCAUUCAUAGAGUGUAAAGGCAUAAGGGAGCUUGACUGCGAGACCUACAAGUCGAGCAGGGUCGAAAGACGGACUUAGUGAUCCGGUGGUUCCGCAUGGAAGGGCCAUCGCUCAACGGAUAAAAGCUACCCCGGGGAUAACAGGCUUAUCUCCCCCAAGAGUUCACAUCGACGGGGAGGUUUGGCACCUCGAUGUCGGCUCAUCGCAUCCUGGGGCUGUAGUCGGUCCCAAGGGUUGGGCUGUUCGCCCAUUAAAGCGGUACGCGAGCUGGGUUCAGAACGUCGUGAGACAGUUCGGUCCCUAUCCGUCGUGGGCGUAGGAAAUUUGAGAGGAGCUGUCCUUAGUACGAGAGGACCGGGAUGGACAUACCUCUGGUGUACCAGUUGUCGUGCCAACGGCAUAGCUGGGUAGCUAUGUGUGGACGGGAUAAGUGCUGAAAGCAUCUAAGCAUGAAGCCCCCCUCAAGAUGAGAUUUCCCAACUUCGGUUAUAAGAUCCCUCAAAGAUGAUGAGGUUAAUAGGUUCGAGGUGGAAGCAUGGUGACAUGUGGAGCUGACGAAUACUAAUCGAUCGAAGACUUAAUCAA